UACGGAGGGUGCAAACGUUGCUCGGAAUCAUUGGGCGUAAAGCGCACGUAGGCGGUACGUUAAGUCGGGUGUGAAAGCCCCGGGCUCAACCCGGGAAGUGCAUUCGAAACUGGCGCACUUGAGUAUGGAAGAGGGUCUCGGAAUUCCCGGUGUAGAGGUGAAAUUCGUAGAUAUCGGGAGGAACACCAGUGGCGAAGGCGGAGACCUGGGCCAAUACUGACGCUGAGGUGCGAAAGCGUGGGGAGCAAACAGG
This 253-nucleotide ribosomal RNA is filed under the name uncultured bacterium. RNAcentral describes it as "partial 16S ribosomal RNA". It matches the Rfam family "Bacterial small subunit ribosomal RNA", at positions 524 to 776 of the family's 1533-position model. The record is from RNAcentral.